AGCGCUGUGGCGCCGCAGGUGGACGCCCCCGGCCCAGCGCGGUCCUUCGCCGGACCUCGGAGCGCGGAGCGCGGCCGCAGUUCCGGGGCGGGACGACGGAAAGAACUGACGGGACGCGCCCGGGGAGCGUCCCCUGGGGUGGCCCAGGGUGCCAGUGAGGAAGGAGUGGACACAGGUGCAACUUUGUUUUACUGGACUGAAAAUGUUUUUAAUGGAAUGGGUCUGGGUAAAGGAAGACAAUACAUGUUGAGCUGCAGGAAACAAAAGCUAGUCCAGUUAUUAUUUUAGUCCUGCUUUGGAAAUAAACCAAACGUCCAUCUGCGGUAGAAAAGACCAAUCGUGAGCUGCUGUUGUUGUUUGUUUGUUUGUUGUUUUCUUAUAAAAUGGAAUUUCACCCCACAGGGAGUGGAAGGAACUACAAGAACAAUCACACGAAUGAAACCUCCCACGCUAAGAAUGAGGGAGGGGAGCCAGGCACAAAAGAAUACAUUUAUAGUGCAUUCCAUUGUUUGAAAGUUCAAAAACAGGUGAAACUAAUCUAUGGUGUUAGAAAUCAGAAUAAUACUACCCUUGGGAGGAGUUUCUAGCAUUCUGGUAAUGUUUCGGUUUUCAAAUUGGGUGCUGAGUCCAUGGUUGUGCUGGCUUUGUGUAGACAUACUGAGUUGUUCACUCUCGGAUGCUUUGUUGUGUAGCUGUUAAAGUUAAUCAAAUAUUUUUCUUUCAAAAGAUCCUUCAUCACUAGGAUGUCAUACUUUUUUGCUGCUGCUAAAAUGUAUGUCACACCCAAAUAUUUAUUGAUAACAUACUUAGAUACUCACUAUUUGGAGUAAAAACAUUCUGUGUUACCAAACUUCCAGCCAUUGUGCAAAAAGACACAUUACUGAGGCAGAGUUAUAUCUUAAAUUAUUCAUCUGUGCAUUUUUCAUGAAUUUCUAUCCUUUCUUGUUCUCUAGAACCCUGAGUUAAUGAAAUAUGUUAACUUAAAGUGUU
Molecule: long non-coding RNA, 990 nt
Organism: Neofelis nebulosa (Clouded leopard)
Lineage: Eukaryota; Metazoa; Chordata; Mammalia; Carnivora; Felidae
Exons: 2
Source: RefSeq, a predicted model, not a curated record